Molecule: ribosomal RNA, 231 nt
Filed under: uncultured bacterium
Lineage: Bacteria
Description: partial 16S ribosomal RNA
Rfam family: Bacterial small subunit ribosomal RNA
Source: RNAcentral
UGGGCAACCUGCCCCUCUCUCUGGGAUAACCCCGGGAAACCGGAGCUAAUACCGGAUACUCCGGCUGGAUCGCAUGGUCCGGCCGGGAAAGGUCCGCCGGAGAGGGAUGGGCCCGCGGCCUAUCAGCUUAUUGGUGGGGUCAUGGCUCACCAAGGCGACGACGGGUAGCUGGUCUGAGAGGACGACCAGCCACACUGGAACUGAGAUACGGUCCAGACUCCUACGGGAGCA